RNAcentral lists this ribosomal RNA (293 nucleotides) under Enterococcus faecium. RNAcentral's name for it is "partial 16S ribosomal RNA". It matches the Rfam family "Bacterial small subunit ribosomal RNA", at positions 239 to 524 of the family's 1533-position model. Lineage: Bacteria; Bacillati; Bacillota; Bacilli; Lactobacillales; Enterococcaceae. The record is from RNAcentral.
GAUUAGCUUGUUGGUGGGGUAACGGCUCACCUAGGCGACGAUCCCUAGCUGGUCUGAGAGGAUGACCAGCCACACUGGAACUGAGACACGGUCCAGACUCCUACGGGAGGCAGCAGUGGGGAAUAUUGCACAAUGGGCGCAAGCCUGAUGCAGCCAUGCCGCGUGUAUGAAGAAGGCCUUCGGGUUGUAAAGUACUUUCAGCGGGGAGGAAGGGAGUAAAGUUAAUACCUUUGCUCAUUGACGUUACCCGCAGAAGAAGCACCGGCUAACUCCGUGCCAGCAGCCGCGGUAAU